Molecule: ribosomal RNA, 484 nt
Filed under: uncultured bacterium
Lineage: Bacteria
Description: partial 16S ribosomal RNA
Rfam family: Bacterial small subunit ribosomal RNA
Source: RNAcentral
AUUGAACGCUGGCGGAAUGCUUUACACAUGCAAGUCGAGCGGCAGCACGGGGGCAACCCUGGUGGCGAGCGGCGAACGGGUGAGUAAUACAUCGGAACAUGCCCAGUCGUGGGGGAUAACACUUCGAAAGAAGUGCUAAUACCGCAUACGUCCUGAGGGGGAAAGCGGGGGAUCGCAAGACCUCGCGCGAUUGGAGUGGCCGAUGUCAGAUUAGCUAGUUGGUGGGGUAAAGGCCUACCAAGGCAACGAUCUGUAGCUGGUCUGAGAGGAUGAUCAGCCACACUGGGACUGAGACACGGCCCAGACUCCUACGGGAGGCAGCAGUGGGGAAUUUUGGACAAUGGGGGCAACCCCGAUCCAGCCAUUCCGCGUGAGUGAAGAAGGCCUUCGGGUUGUAAAGCUCUUUCGGCAGGAACGAAACGGUGAGCUCUAACAUAGCUUGCUAAUGACGGUACCUGAAGAAGAAGCACCGGCUAACUACGUG